Molecule: long non-coding RNA, 11346 nt
Filed under: Heterocephalus glaber (naked mole-rat)
Lineage: Eukaryota; Metazoa; Chordata; Mammalia; Rodentia; Bathyergidae
Description: lncRNA (ENSHGLG00000047962.1)
Source: RNAcentral
CCUCUCUGCCAGGCCCGGGGGGAGAGAGAGGGUGGUGAGCAAAGGGUUAACCUGGUAAAGUCACAGGCCUGGCUCUGAGCCACCCGGGUGCCCAGCUGUCCCUGCGGGCAGGCAGAACCUUAAGGACAGAGGGAGGCAACCCUAGGGUGCCACAGGCUGGGCUCCUGUUGGGUAGGAGUCCGGUCACAUGUUGCUGUUCGACACGCUCCUGGGUCAGCCUCCUGUCUGACGCCCUCCCUGUCGCUGCCUCCCUCCCGCCCCUCAGCUCGGCUCGGCUCGGCUCGAGGAUCAGCGGCAGCAGCGGGAGAGCUGCCCUAGCGGCGGGAGGCGGCGGACCGAGCCCGAGCGGAGCCCGCACCAUGGUGCUCUCGGUGCCUGUGAUCGCGCUGGGCGCCACGCUGGGCACGGCCACCAGCAUCCUUGCGCUGUGCGGGGUCACCUGCCUGUGCCGGCACAUGCACCCCAAGAAGGGGCUGCCGCCGCGGGACAGCGAGCCCGACCCGGAGAAGGCGAGACCCGGGGUGCUCCAGCCGGCCCAACAGUUCAACGUGAAGAAAUCCACGGAGCCCGUCCAGCCCCGUCCCCUCCUCAAGUUCCCGGACAUCUAUGGCCCCAGGCCAGCCGUGACGGCUCCGGAGGUUAUCAACUACGCAGAUUACACACUGGGCACCACGGGGAGGAGGCUGCUGCAUGCCCAUCAGCCCUCAGCCCCUGAGUGACAGUCGCCUCAAGAGGCAGGUCACCGAGGAGCUGUUCAUCCUUCCUCAGAAUGGUGUGGUGGAGGAUGUCUGCGCGUCAUGGAGACCUGGAAUCCAGAGAAGGCCGCCAGCUGGAACCAGGCCCCCAAACUCCACUACUGUCUGGACUAUGACCGGCAGAAGGCUGAACUCUUUGUGACUUGCCUGGAAGCUUUGACCAGUGACCACGACGGAGGCUGUGACUGCUAUGUGCAGGGCAGCGUGGCCAUCACGACAGGGUCCGUGGAGGCCCAGACGGCCCUGAAGAGGCGACAGCAGCACACAGCCUGGGAGGAGGGCCUGGUGCUGCCCCUGGCAGAAGAGGAGCUGCGUACAGCUGCCCUGACUCUCACCCUCAGGACCUGUGACCGCUUCUCCCGCCACAGUGUGGCCGGGAGCUCCGCCUGGCCCUGGAUGGGGUGUCCGUGCCCCUGGGGGCUGCCCAGUGGGGCGAGCUGAAGACCUCAGUGAAGGUAGGGUCCAUCUGGUCCAUGCCAUGGAGACAGGGACAGUCUGUCCACGGAGCGUCAGGGCAGAAAUCUGGGCCAGAAGGGUCAGAACAAACCUGGAGACCUUCAGGGGCCAGUGAGAGGUGUGGAGGGGCCUUGGGCAGGGCCGGGGCUGGAGAAGACCUGUGGCCUGGGGCUCAGGGUUCCUGGGGUCCACUUCGGCAGUGCUUCUUGGCUGCUGCACAGGUCCCCUGCCACCUUCAUGGAAAGCUUCACGGGUGUGCACUGGCUCUCGUGCAACAGCAGUGCCAUCCAUCCUUUUUUUGUUCUUUUGAGACAGGGUCUAGCUUAGGGCUGGUCUUGAACUCACUAUGUAGGUUAGGCUGGCCUUGAACUCUUGGCGACCCUCCUGUCUCAGCCUCAGUGCUGGAGUUAUGAGUAUGCAUCGCCAUACCCAGCGAGCAUCCCUGCUGAAUCCAGUCCUACUCUGUGUGCACCCGCUAUGUGCCAGGCACUGCAGGGAGGGGUGGACAAGGGGUGGGGGAGAGGCAGCACUCGGUGCUCAUAGAAAGCGCAGGCUAAAGGGAUAAACCAUGCUGACCAAUGGCAGUGACGAUGACCUCUGAUGUGUGGGAUCCUGGGCUGAGCCAAAGUCCUGUGAGAGAAAGUUCUGGAAGGCUUGGUGCAAGGUGGCCUUGCACUGGGCUCUGAAGGACCCACUGGGCUGAGGAUGAGUCCCCAGGUGAUUUCCCACCUCUGCUGUGCUGAGGUGACAGUGACAGAGAGUCAGGCAGGACACAAGGCAUUCCUCAGAAAGGGGGCUCCACGUAGGCCAUGGUGGGCAAAAGUCCAGAGGAGGGCAGGGCUGGGGAUGGUGCGGGGCCACUAGUGCCCUAGUCAAGGCCACUCCAAGCAGCCUGCACUGUGGUGACUGGUCUGUCACCUCUGCCCAGAGACCGCAUGGCCCACAGUGCCUGUCUGGCCCUUUCUAGAUUGUUUGGGCCCCUUGUGCUGCAGUAGUAGGAAUGCUAAUCAGGUGCGUGGCCUCCUCCUUCCUUCCUUCCUUCCUUCUCUCCUUCUUUGCUUUCUUUUAUGGUGCUGGGGAUUGUCACACUGAGCUACUGUCACACUGAGCUACAUCCCUAGCCCUUUCUAAUUUAUUUUUUAAUUUUUGAGACAGUGUCUCAGUAAAUUGCCCAGGCUGGGCUUGAAUUUGUGACCCUCCUUGCCUCAGCCUCCCAGAGUGCUGGGAUUACAGGCGUGCGCCACCACCGCUGGCUCAGGAUGCUAUUUCUGAGUGCUCCCCAUAUAUCAGCAGCGAUCCUUAGGACUUAACCUGAGUUCUUCCACCUACUUCCCAAAUCCAGCAGUGAGGGAGACGCCAUGAUGGUCCCAUUUGUGAACUGAUGCUCAUCGUUGUUGAGGAACUUGCAUAGGUCACCAGCCAGGACGCCGAGAGCCCAGCCUUGAGGCCGACUCACUGGACUCUAAUCCCUGCUGUCUCAUCCCUGCCACGAGCAUGUGCCUGACAAGCAAGAGGCACAACCUUUCCUAAUGGGUACCCUGAGGUCAGGAGAGAGGAGAACAGUUCCACUCCCCACCUUGCUCCUCUCUUGCCAGCAUUUCUUCCUUGCCGCAUUUUCUCUUCUUUCCUAGGCUUGGAAAAUUGAUAGAAUAAUCACAGUCAUUCCAGCAUGGUUCCACAGCAUGCUCUGUAAUUAGUGUGUGAUUCGGGCCUUGUGUGAACACAGACAGGCGCCCUGGAAGAAGCCAAGCACAGGAGGACCAGCUUUCUCCAGAGAUGCGGAGCCCUCCUCCCUGCCUUGCUGAACUUUAGGCUUUGCUACAAGCCCAAAAGGGCUGAAAUCCCACUGACCAGUCUCAGGCACCUCCCUGGCUUUAAUCCCUCCUGUAGAAAAGCAGUGUCACCCAUCCAUCCACCCACCCCCCAUCCUCCAUCCAUCUGUACCACAAAUACCCUGUUCUCCUGGGGACACAGCCCGAGCUGCAGUGCAGCCCCAUCCACUGCCACACCUGCCAGUACUCAACCCUCUGCAGACAUCCCCAACAUCCACUUCCCUUGGGAAUGCGAGGCAGAGAGAGCCCCAGCCAGCCAGGGAGCCUCUAUCUGGGUUGAGGGCAUGGGCUGGCUUAACCCUGGUGGGGGGCCUGCAGUUGUGGGGCCAGGUAUUGCCUUCUCUGGGCCAGAAGGGGUUAACAGAGGCACCGGCAGUGCCUCAGUUCUAGCCAAAGACACUCAGCCAAAAGUGGCUUGUGCGUCAGCAGGGCCCACAGCGCGACUCACUCUGAGGACAGCCUGGAGUGAUUCAUUGAGAGCCAGAGAGAAAGAGGGGGUGAGAAAGGAGGUACUUGAAGAGCCAGGAUGCCAAGGGGGCAGAUGCCAACACGCUGUGCUAAGGUGCAGAGGGCAGGGUGGUCCAGAGCCCCACAGGGCCGGCAGGCGGGGGGCCCCUCCCUGGGCUGGGGAACAGAAGGCUGCAGCCGUCGCCCCAUGGCUACAGCCUGAGCCAACCAUGAACCCCUGCCACACAACCUUGAGUCAGAAGGCAGUGCCUAUCCCAGCUCUGCUGCCACCCUGCGGGGUGCCUGGCACCUGUCCCCAGCCUCAGUUUCUUCUCUGUGGAGUGAGGGGCUGGGCGUGUCCACCUGGGAAGCCAGAGGCCAUGGAUUUCACACUCAGGCUUCCCCUUUUAGACCAGACCUCCCUUCCCGUUCCAGUGCAGGUGCAGGUGCUUGUGCCUAGGAGGGGCACAAAGUCAGCACCUUCUGAGAGUCAUUGUCAGGGGUAAAAUGGGAUGUCUCACCUUCAAAACAGGUUUUUGGACAUUUAUUUGGUGCCCACUGUGCUCCAGGAGCUGGGAUGCAUAAGGAGCUGACAGCCCCUGGGGAGAGAUUAUGUAAUUGAGUGCAUAGUAAAUGUUUAAUAAGCAACAGUUGCUAUCAUUUAUGUUGUCCUCAAGGUUCCUUGAGGCCCCUAGACCAGUUUUUCAUACAGGAGUCACUUGUGGCUGAUUGAAUCAGUGGCAUCGAGUUGGAGACAUUUUUCCUGCAUGGCAAGUGUGACCCAAGGAGGAGGUAUAGUGAGCCUGGCAGAGGGCUGGCCAUUGCUUCAUCCAGCUUCGUUCCCAAGCCCAGAUUGGCUCCUACGGACCCAGAAACAGUGCUCAAGAAGUGGUGAUGACCCUUCCCAGAGAACUAAUGGUGAUAAUCCCAGCCAAAGGGGCCACAGUGCCCAGGAUGUGCUGGGCACUGGUCUAAGCCUUUGCCUCUGAACUCAGUUUAAUUUUUACAACAGUCCCUUAAGGGAGAGAUAAUACUAUUCGCAUUUCACAGAUAGGGAAGUCAAGGCUCAGAAAAGCUUAAGUAACUUCCCCAAGCUCACACAGCUAGUAAGUGGUAGGACUGGAACUCAGACCCAGAUAGGCCGGCUCUAGAGUCUGUGCCCUAAGCAUUAUGGAGUGCUUGCUCUGGGUUAUUAAUAAUUGCUGUAGUUUUGACAGCUGUCAUUUGAAUUAUAAUUGAUGGCCUUUCAUGGGGUCUUGCUAAAUGCAUUUUCUCAUCUGAUCGCUGCCAUUUUUAUUUCCUCGUAGCACUGAAUGCAGCUUGAUGUUACUCACGUAAUCAUUUCCUGUCUGUCACCCCCACCCCGUGUGACUGAAAACUCUCGGGAGAUUGUGCUUUGCUCAGCGCCUUAACUGCAGCAUCUGAAACAUAGCGGGUGCUGUUUGCAUGUCUGCUGCAUGGUGGAUGAGUCUCUCUUUUUUUCUGCUAAAGGAACCAACGUUUAGAGCAGUUAACUGGCUUGCUCGGUGUCGCACAGGAGGUAAGUCGUACAGCAGGGUCUGCAGUACUGCUGUGCAUUCACUUCCAGCCAGGCCCUGUGCUGGGAAAGCCAAAAGGGGGACAGAGUGAAAGUCGUGGCAUGGACUGGGACCGGCGUCCAUGGCCCUUCUCCGCCUUCCCAGUUUCCUCGUGCAGCAGCUAAGGGGGUGCCGUCUUUCUCCUGGAGGCUGCGAGGGAAGGACAUCUGCCUUCUGCUGAGAAUCCCCUGGUCCCUGGCCACUCGAUCCCGCUCCUCCCUGCCAGGUCUCCCUCGAGCUCUGAUGGCCACCGAACCCACACUCCCUGGGAGGUUACCGGUCAUGUUUUUGUGUGCUUGUGCCUUUGUCUUUCGGUUCCUUGACAGAUUUAUAGGCCUGUCAGUGGAGACGCUCUGUGAAGUACACAGGGGACAGAUGUGUCUUGGUGCUUCCUGGAGACCUUUAUCUCCGGGGCGCUUUCUGCUAUCCUGCGCUCAUAGUGUUUCAUUGACUUUGGCCAAGCAAGCCCCUGCUCAGCAUUAUUGACCAAGCAAGCCCCUGCUCAGCAUUAUUGACCAAGCAAGCCCCUGCUCAGCAUUAUUCUAACAUUUUGUUGACUGAUGGCCCAGGGUAAAUUGGCUUUUCAAACAAAGAAAUGAAUUACAACUCUUCACUGCUCUGAGAACCUGAUUGGUCAGCACAUUGAUUCUCAAACUUUAUUCUCUGAAUCCCUAGAGUUCUGCAGAGGAACCCCAGGAAGCUAGGGAUGAGGCAGGAGCAAAGGGUGAGGGGAUCUCAGAUUUCUGCCCCUGAUACAUCUUCAGUGCCAUCUCCUUGCUCUGUGAUUGAAAAUAAAAACUUAUUACAGUAAAAGACACAUUACCAUUCAUCUCCCCCACAAUACUCUCCUUCAAUUCCAACAUACGUACCCCAUUAUUCCUACCAAUUUCUGCAGCGGUUCUGGAAGUCACCCUUUUAGUUGCUGUGGCUAUUAAAGUGAAUGUUGUAAUUGCCUUAAUGUCCUGAAUUGAUUCAAAAUGUCAACUUUUCCUGGUCGUUUUGACUUGAAGAGGAAGCAGAAGUUGCAUGGUCCCAGGCCCAGUGAAUGAGGUGGAGGGGGCACAUCGUGAUGUUUUUAUAAGGAAGGCUUUCUUUUGGAUGGCACCUGGCAGCAGCAGUCACCAUAUUUUUUAUUACAUCUCACAAAGAUACUCAGGAAAUAGAACUCCAGAGCUGCUUUAGAAAGUGGGGGAGGAUUUGGGGGGAGGAUUCAUGGCAGUGUGUCUUUUAAUAUAAUAAGCUUUUCUGACUGAAACUCUCACCGUAUCUUUGAUCACCCCUUGUAUGUUGGACCUGAAUAUAUGACACCUGGAAAACCACAUUUGGUGGCAGACAGCAAACUCCUGUGGACACCCACACCCCUUAACACUCCUCAUGCCACGCUCCUCUAUGGGGUGCAGGGGAGAAGCCAGGCUGGGUGGACGACUCCUGGGUGCCCCUCGAUGCAAGUCCGGUGCUACCAGGCUAAGCAAUGCUUGUGGGUGAGAAGCCACCCCCUGUGUCCCCUUCUGUUUCAGGAGCCGUCUUCGGGGACUGGAGAGGUCCUCCUGUCCAUUAGCUACCUCCCGGCUGCCAACCGCCUCCUGGUGGUGCUGAUCAAAGCCAAGAACCUCCACUCCAACCAGUCCAAGGUGCUCCUGGGCAAGGGUGAGUGCUGAGAAGGCUGAGUCAGACCACGGGGAUGUGUGCAAGGGAGGCAGCAAGCGCAGUGACAGUCACCCUCGGCUGUGCCCUCCACCCAAGCUCACAGCCCAAGCUGAAGGCCACACUCUCCUUUGAGUUCACAUCCAUUCAUUCCUGGCCCAUCCCAGCCUCCAAGGCCCAGCGAGGUUCUCCCUGGGCUCCCUGCCUCUGAGGUCCACCUGACAGCCGUCAGCCUUGACACGGAUCCAGGAAGCCAAGGGUCAGGCCGUAGACGUGGUGAGGAGUACUGGGCUCCAGGGAAACCCUGCCCCGCUGCACUCACCUCUGGGCAGGUGCUGAUGCGGGGAAGCCCCUGGUUCUUUCCUCCCAUCUCCUCCAGCCUCCAAUGCACUCCCACGGCUUCCCCAGUCUCCUCUUUCUGUUCUCAGCCUUGGCCAACUGCCACCCCCUCAUCAGCUGAGUGCGGCUGUCACAAAAGUUGUGUGGGUGUGGGGCGGAGCCUCAGGGUGUCUGUACCCCAUUUACCCACAUAAGCCUCUUUUCAACACUCUGGACAUUUCGGUUUUUCUUUCUAGGAACCCCCGCACAGGACCCAAGUCUUGAGAUCAAGGCGGGCUCUCGUAUCUGAGUAGGAAGACAGCUGGGUUAGCCAGAUAAUACCUGGACUGGGGACCAAGUGCUCAUAGCUGGAGAGAAACGCAUCUGUAUUAGUAGCAGGAUACAAAUAAAGCAUUGCCAUUAUGUACAGAAUCUUUAAGCAAAAAGUUUUGGACAAAUGAAAUCAGAAGGGUUAAUCUUGUUGGCAGAUUCCCAAGCCAAAGAUGUCUCAGUCAAGGUGACCUUGAAGCACCAGGCUCAGAAGCUGAAGAAGAAGCAGACGAAACGGGCCAAGCACAAGAUCAACCCUGUGUGGAACGAGAUGAUCAUGUUCGAGCUGCCUGACGACCUGCUGCGGGCCUCCAGUGUCGGAGCUGGAGGUGCUGAGCCAGGAUGAGGCUGGGCAGAGCUGCACCCUCGGUCACUGCAGCCUGGGCCUGCACACUUCCGGCUCAGAGCGCAGCCACUGGGAGGAGAUGCUCAAAAACCUGCGCCGGCAGAUUGCCAUGUGGCACCAGCUGUGCCAGUAGCCGGGCCCUUGCGGGGACACGGGCCCCUCCUCCAGCCCCAGCUGUCCCGUGCAACCUCCUCUGUCCCCACCCUCAUUCUGAGACAGACUGGGACCCGCGCUUCCUCUCUGGCCACACUCCUGUUUCGAAAGGGCAAGUGUGGAAAUGGGACAUCGGGUCGCACAAGGAGAGCACCUUGCUCCUCUGUGCUAUGGGAAGAGCUGUCUACCAGACAAUCCUGUGCAGGACUUGCAAGUGUGGGAAGCCAGAUGCAGGGGGAGCUUAAUUCAGGGAAUUGUGGAUGCAAAGAGGUUCCUAAAAAUAAGUAUUGCAACAAGAAUGAAGGAGAAAUGAUCCUGGAUCAACUCAAAGAGUUAGAAGUGGUCUGGGUGGGAUGAAACCAACCCCCGCCAAGCAGCUGUAGGACGUUAGUGUGUAGAGACUCACCCGCCAGCUCCUGGGCCGCCAGUGAGUUCCAGGUCAGAGAUUCGGGCCAAGCCUCUUCCUCAGUCCUUCUAAGCACUGAGAGAUUCCAAGGCAGAGGUGGGAGGACGUGGAGGGGUUCUGUCUACAACAUUCUACGUGGGCUUUCAACCUCUGUCUGCUAUGGGGCCCCAACACCUGGAGGCAGCGACCCCAACCCUGGGCACCUCAACCCUGUGUGUGAACUCAAAGCCUCCAUUUUUGAUUUAACUCUUAAUGUUGAAAUGUGUGCUUUUUCCAGGUCCUGCUCUUGGGCUGCAUUUUGUGAUUUUUAUUGAAGGACUGUAUUGUUUUAUCUUGAAAUUGGCUUAUAUUGUGUGUGAGGAGACCUUCUUCCACAAAGUAUAGGUGGGAUCCUCACUCUGUUGGUUAUUGGGCUGGAUUCUGAGCAUUAGUUGUCACAUCUACCAGCAUUACCAAAGUGACCCUGUGCAACAGAUCCAUUCCUUCUCUGCAUUCCAGCUGCUUCCGGAGGAAGUUAAUUAUGAACUUGGUCUACUCCAUUUGGCUGCAGGAACAUGGAGAGGAAAGACAACUUUAUAAAGGAGUGAGGUCUUUUGCAGACAUGCCUCCCUCCCUGGGUUUGGGGGUCCUUAAAACUUUAACCAGUAAAUAGCUAGCAGCUAGAUUUUUACUUUCUACCUGUUAUUCCCAAAUCAUUGUCCCCACUGUGAUUAAAUCUACAUGAAGGUGGUCAUACUACUCAUCAGGAACUGGAUUGCUGGGUUCUGCUGCUCUCACUGCCCUUCACAAGCUUAAUGUGGCCAUCUGUCAAGUAGGGCUAACAUCCUGGGAUCUUAUCUGUGUGCAUGAUAUGGUAGGUGAGAAAGUGUUCAAAAAGUUGAAGGUAUUCCUCAGCUAAGAACAAACUCCGAGACCACUAGCAGGUCACCUUUAAGCUAGGUUACUGUCUUUCACGUCAAGCUGGGAGCUGAGAAUGCCUAGAAAGUGUCAGACCUGCUCAAAUAUUUCCAGAACCAUGGAUUCUGCAUUUGAACUUCUUUCUAUUAAUAGUCAAACUCUGGGCCCUCCGAUGUCAGCCCCAUUCUCUGAUGGAAGGGAGGAUUCCUGGAUGAGCUGUCUAAGCAUCAUUCUUCUUAAAUUCAGUUGUUCUCGGCCUCUCCUUGAGCAGAGCCUUCAUACUCUUUUGUCAUUAUUUGCUCUUUCUAUACAGAAAUGGGAAAGCACUAGAAAUAACUUCUACCCACUCUGUGGAAACAGAAAAAAAUAUAUAAUCCCUCUUUAAUGGGCAGGUCUUUCAGAUAAUUGGAAACCUUGAUCUUUCAGGUUGACCCACCCUUGUUCCAAGUGUUUUUUCAAAGGUGCAGUAUUGUCUUUGGUUUCCAAAAAUGUGUUUCUGAGUUCACCCUCUCUGCCCUGGUCUCUUCUUUUUGGUUGGCAUGGCAAAAAGAGAACAAAAUAUUCCCCAGGUCACCUGAAAGCUGGCCAGCAUCUUCUUUAACAUGCGCUAUCUAGAAACAUGAGUUCCACUUCCCUAUAAAUCAAAGCACUGCUUAUAGUCCCACCAAAGAACAUUUGAAGAGUGCUGGACAGGGCCCCCUGGCCCAGAGCAUCAAUGCCACCCAAAGUCAACCCAUUCAUUUCUUUGGAUCUCAAAGGUUUAGUUUUCCAGAAUGAAAGCUAAAGGCUGCUCCUGAUAGGGGUCACAUUAUACCAUAGGACAUUUUAGGUGCCAUUGUCACCCCACUUGGCAGAGAGGCACAGAAAUGGCAUAGGCUCUGCAGGGGCCUCAUUUGGAUGUUCACUGGUGGAUUCCAAAUGCCUAGGAUAAAGCUGUCUUAUGGGGCUCCAACAGGGCUUGCUGGAUGAAUGAAUGAAUGAUGGGAGAGGUGUCACCAGAAAAGGACACAGCACAUGGCAGAACAAGGAGAGCCCUGGCUGAGUUGACAAUGGUAAAGAUGUCAGUUGACUCAACAGUUAGCCUGGAAAUUCAUGACAUUGAGUAUUAGCAUUCACUCAACAACAGUCAAAGGUCUCCAUGUAAAUGGAUUUAACAAAAAAGAGAAUAUAAUUGCCAUACUUUCCCACCCAAACUCCAUUCUGGUGAAUUUUAAAUUACCCAAAGAUGUCAGACUGCCAAAUCAAAAAAUUUUGGUAAUCUUUGCCUCGGUUUACCUUGUACCAGACACACUUGCAAUUUACCUUUUAAUUAGAGUGAUGAAGUCUGUGUGAACAUAUUUGAUAAUUUUUGAAAGGGUUACCUUGUUCUAUGUAGGGAAGCAUUUUCUAAGAAAGGUGUGAAGCAGAGGUAAAAACAAAGAGUCUGUUUCAGGCUGGGCUGUCACCCAAGAGGGGACCUGUUUCUUUCUUAGAGACAGCCACGGGCUUGGAGGAUUAAGGAUCCACCUUCAUUUGUUGGUGACUUCACUUCUUGAGCCAUCAGUCUGUACUUGUUGAGUCCUGUUCCUCAAGACUUUGCAUGUGUCUGUCCCUUCCAAUUUCAGAUGUGACUCUUGGUCUGGGUUGUGUGACAAACCACCCUAAUUGAAGCUAGGCAGAGGGAGUGGGGGGAACAGGAGUGCUGUUCUUUGGGACCACUUGGAAAGGAGUCCUGGAUGGAAGGUGGAUGCAGCCUAAGCCAAAUGGACAAGGUGAGGACAGGGAAAAGAGACCUAGUCCUUGUGAUUUGUUGCUGCCUUUGCUGUUUCCUGUUGUCAAUUGCUCUGUGUGUGUGUUAGUGUGUGUGUGUGUUUGUGUGUGUUUUGCUAUCAUGAACUGAAGCACAAAUAGAGGCAUGAGACAUUGUAGUCAUGUAUUCCGUGUCACACUCUGGAGCAAAACUAGUGCAGUGGUAAAUAAAUAACUUCCAACAGGGUCAGUAGCUUGGUGUUUCUCUGUUUUGUUCUGUUUUUUCCUUUCACUUAAUAUUUUGGACAUCUAAAAUGCAGGAAAAGUAAAAACAAAAACAAAAACAAAACACUUUGCAGUCAGCAUUCACAAACCACUGUCAAUAUAAUGAACCUUGACAGCUGCAGCUCAGUCUGCUCUGUGCCCUCUACUCCAGACCUGCCUCUGGGUUUUUAUC